This 761-nucleotide ribosomal RNA is filed under the name Phyllosticta citribraziliensis. Its description in RNAcentral is "eukaryotic LSU rRNA". It matches the Rfam family "Eukaryotic large subunit ribosomal RNA", at positions 87 to 866 of the family's 3401-position model. The record is from RNAcentral. RNAcentral also lists the same sequence under 1 other name. Lineage: Eukaryota; Fungi; Ascomycota; Dothideomycetes; Botryosphaeriales; Phyllostictaceae.
CGGCGAGUGAAGCGGCAAUAGCUCAAAUUUGAAAGCUGGCGCCUUCGGCGUCCGCGUUGUAAUUUGUAGAGGAUGCUUCGGCGAGGACUCCUGCCUAAGUUCCCUGGAAUGGGACGUCACAGAGGGUGAGAAUCCCGUAUGUGGCGGGCGGUCCAAGCCAUGUGAAGCUCCUUCGACGAGUCGAGUUGUUUGGGAAUGCAGCUCUAAAUGGGAGGUAAAUUUCUUCUAAAGCUAAAUACCGGCCAGAGACCGAUAGCGCACAAGUAGAGUGAUCGAAAGAUGAAAAGCACUUUGGAAAGAGAGUUAAAAAGUACGUGAAAUUGUUGAAAGGGAAGCGCUUGCAACCAGACUCGCUCGCAGUUGCUCAGCCCGCCUCUUGGUGGGUGUACUCUUCUGCGAUCGGGCCAGCAUCAGUUCGGGCGGCCGGAUAAAGGUGUCGGGAAUGUAGCACCCUUCGGGGUGUGUUAUAGCCCGGCGCGGAAUGCGGCCAGCCUGGACUGAGGAUCUCGCUUCGGCAAGGAUGCUGGCGUAAUGGUUGUAAGCGGCCCGUCUUGAAACACGGACCAAGGAGUCUAACAUCUAUGCGAGUGUUUGGGUGUCAAACCCAUGCGCGUAAUGAAAGUGAACGGAGGUGGGAACCCGCAAGGGUGCACCAUCGACCGAUCCUGAUGUCUUCGGAUGGAUUUGAGUAAGAGCAUAGCUGUUGGGACCCGAAAGAUGGUGAACUAUGCCUGAAUAGGGUGAAGCCAGAGGAAACUCUG